AGCGAACGCUGGCGGCGUGCUUAACACAUGCAAGUCGAACGAAGGCUUCGGCCUUAGUGGCGGACGGGUGAGUAACGCGUGGGAAUCUACCUUACGGCGGGAAAUAACAGCGGGAAACUGCUGCUAAUACCGCAUACCCUCUACGGAGGAAAGGCUUCGGCCACCGUUUGAGGAUCCCGCGUCCGAUUGGCUAGUUGGUGUGGUAACGGCUCACCAAGGCGACGAUCGGUAGCUGGUCUGGGAGGAUGAUCAGCCACACUGGGACUGAGACACGGCCCAGACUCCGACGGGAGGCAGCAGUUGGGAAUAUUGGACAAUGGGGGAAACCAUGAUACAGCGACGCCGCGUGAAUGAUGAAGGCCUUAGGGUUGUAGAGUUCUUUCGUCCGUGACGAUGAUGACAGUAGCGGAAGAAGAAGCUCCGGCUAACUUCGUGCCAGCCGCCGCAGUAA
RNAcentral lists this ribosomal RNA (451 nucleotides) under uncultured bacterium. Its description in RNAcentral is "partial 16S ribosomal RNA". It matches the Rfam family "Bacterial small subunit ribosomal RNA", at positions 29 to 523 of the family's 1533-position model. The record is from RNAcentral.